Molecule: ribosomal RNA, 446 nt
Filed under: uncultured bacterium
Lineage: Bacteria
Description: bacterial SSU rRNA
Rfam family: Bacterial small subunit ribosomal RNA
Source: RNAcentral
AACGAACGCUGGCGGCAUGCCUAACACAUGCAAGUCGAACGAACUCUUCGGAGUUAGUGGCGCACGGGUGCGUAACGCGUGGGAAUCUGCCCUUGGGUACGGAAUAACUCAGAGAAAUUUGUGCUAAUACCGUAUAAUGACUUCGGUCCAAAGAUUUAUCGCCCAAGGAUGAGCCCGCGUAAGAUUAGCUAGUUGGUGGGGUAAAAGCCUACCAAGGCGACGAUCUUUAGCUGGUCUGAGAGGAUGAUCAGCCACACUGGGACUGAGACACGGCCCAGACUCCUACGGGAGGCAGCAGUGGGGAAUAUUGGACAAUGGGCGAAAGCCUGAUCCAGCAAUGCCGCGUGAGUGAUGAAGGCCUUAGGGUUGUAAAGCUCUUUUACCCGGGAUGAUAAUGACAGUACCGGGAGAAUAAGCUCCGGCUAACUCCGUGCCAGCAGCCGCGG